This 366-nucleotide ribosomal RNA is filed under the name Amyras clandestina. RNAcentral describes it as "partial large subunit ribosomal RNA". Lineage: Eukaryota; Metazoa; Arthropoda; Insecta; Hymenoptera; Braconidae. The record is from RNAcentral.
GGCUGCAGAAUUUAUAACUGUACAAAGGUAGCAUAAUAAUUUGUUUUUUAAUUAAAAACUAGAAUGAAUGAUUAAAUGAAAUAUAAACUGUUUCAAUUAAAUAAAAAUUUAAAUUUUUAUUUAAGUUAAAAAACUUAAAUAAAUUUAAAAGACGACAAGACCCUAUAGAAUUUUUUUUUUUAAAAAGAAAAAAAAAAUAAUUAAUUUAUUAAAAUUUUUUAAAUAAAUUUAAUUGGGGUAAUUAUAAAAUUUAAAUAAUUUUUUUUUUUUUACACAAAAAUUAUUGACUUUAAUAACUUAAAAUUUUAAAUAUUAAAAUUAAUUACCUUAGGGAUAACAGCAUAAUUUUUUUUAAAAGUUCAUAUU